RNAcentral lists this ribosomal RNA (1017 nucleotides) under Acinetobacter sp. Cantas3. RNAcentral describes it as "bacterial SSU rRNA". It matches the Rfam family "Bacterial small subunit ribosomal RNA", at positions 30 to 1039 of the family's 1533-position model. The record is from RNAcentral. Lineage: Bacteria; Pseudomonadati; Pseudomonadota; Gammaproteobacteria; Moraxellales; Moraxellaceae.
UUAAGGACAGGGGGACCGCUAACUGCAGUCGAGCGGAGAUGAGGUGCUUGCACCUUAUCUUAGCGGCGGACGGGUGACUAAUGCUUAGGAAUCUGCCAUUUAGUGGGGGACAACAUCUCGAAAGGGAUGCUAAUACCGCAUACGUCCUACGGGAGAAAGCAGGGGAUCUUCGGACCUUGCGCUAAAUGAUGAGCCUAAGUCGGAUUAGCUAGUUGGUGGGGUAAAGGCCUACCAAGGCGACGAUCUGUAGCGGGUCUGAGAGGAUGAUCCGCCACACUGGGACUGAGACACGGCCCAGACUCCUACGGGAGGCAGCAGUGGGGAAUAUUGGACAAUGGGCGGAAGCCUGAUCCAGCCAUGCCGCGUGUGUGAAGAAGGCCUUUUGGUUGUAAAGCACUUUAAGCGAGGAGGAGGCUACUUAGAUUAAUACUCUAGGAUAGUGGACGUUACUCGCAGAAUAAGCACCGGCUAACUCUGUGCCAGCAGCCGCGGUAAUACAGAGGGUGCGAGCGUUAAUCGGAUUUACUGGGCGUAAAGCGUGCGUAGGCGGCUGAUUAAGUCGGAUGUGAAAUCCCUGAGCUUAACUUAGGAAUUGCAUUCGAUACUGGUCAGCUAGAGUAUGGGAGAGGAUGGUAGAAUUCCAGGUGUAGCGGUGAAAUGCGUAGAGAUCUGGAGGAAUACCGAUGGCGAAGGCAGCCAUCUGGCCUAAUACUGACGCUGAGGUACGAAAGCAUGGGGAGCAAACAGGAUUAGAUACCCUGGUAGUCCAUGCCGUAAACGAUGUCUACUAGCCGUUGGGGCCUUUGAGGCUUUAGUGGCGCAGCUAACGCGAUAAGUAGACCGCCUGGGGAGUACGGUCGCAAUACUAAAACUCAAAUGAAUUGACGGGGGCCCGCACAAACGGUGAAGCAUGUGGAUUUAAUUCUAUACGACGCAGAAGAACCUGACCUGGCCUUGGAACAGGGAGAAACUAUACAGGAGAUUGAAUUAGUGGCUUUCUGGCAACUUAAAUCAGAG